Molecule: ribosomal RNA, 544 nt
Filed under: Gymnaspis aechmeae
Lineage: Eukaryota; Metazoa; Arthropoda; Insecta; Hemiptera; Diaspididae
Description: eukaryotic LSU rRNA
Source: RNAcentral
AUCUGGGCAGCAGAAUUCAGGAUGACGGCUCGCGUCUUGACGCGCGUCGUCGUUUGAUAUUUCUGUUGCCGGCGCAGACGUCGCGACCCGUUCGUCGUCGGUCCCUGCUCGGAGGAGCCGCGUUCGAGCUCGUUGCGGGCGCGUUUUUACGCGUUUCGCGGCGAAGGCGCGGUCAUCUGGCCGAUCGACGGACGGUACGUUCCAGUGGUGUCCGGUGUCGCCGUUUCGUACGCGCGGCAUCCGGUACCGGUCGGCGACGAAUUCUUCGGGCCUCUUUCCGACCCGUCUUGAAACACGGACCAAGGAGUCUAACAUGCACGCGAGUCGCGGGGUGUCGAGCGUACCGCGCGUGCGCUCGUUACGACGCGAAACCCGUUCACAUGUAAGGCGUAAUGAAAGUGAAGUGGGAAGAUGGUGUUCCGAGUACACGUUCCGCGAUCGUCGGUAUCGCGGCCGGACACCCGCAUUCCCGGGGCGUCUCAACGGCCCGUCGUGGUCGCGGACGGUCGUCUCUCGGGGCGGCCGUCGGUCCGCGACGAACCGA